AAGCGAACAUNUGAGUGCAAGCGAAUCCCAAAAAUAACGUCUCAGUUCGGAUUGUAGUCUGCAACUCGACUACAUGAAGCUGGAAUCGCUAGUAAUCGCGAAUCAGAAUGUCGCGGUGAAUACGUUCCCGGGUCUUGUACACACCGCCCGUCACACCAUGGGAGUCAGUAACGCCCGAAGCCGGUGACCUAACCGAAAGGGAGGAGCCGUCGAAGGUGGGACCGAUAACUGGGGUGAAGUCGUAACAAGGUAUC
RNAcentral lists this ribosomal RNA (254 nucleotides) under uncultured bacterium. RNAcentral's name for it is "partial 16S ribosomal RNA". It matches the Rfam family "Bacterial small subunit ribosomal RNA", at positions 1247 to 1500 of the family's 1533-position model. The record is from RNAcentral.